ACGGAGGUUCCUAGCGUUGUUCGGAUUUACUGGGCGUAAAGGGAGCGCAGGCGGAUAGGUCAGUGAAAAGUGGAAUUCCGGGGCUCAACCUCGGACGUGCUUUUCAUACUGCCUGUCUUGAGUUCGUGAGAGGAAGGCGGAAUUCAGGGUGUAGCGGUGAAAUGCUUAGAUAUCCUGAGGAACACCGGUGGCGAAAGCGGUCUUCUGGCACGAUACUGACGCUGAGGCUCGAAAGCGUGGGGAGCGAACGG
This 251-nucleotide ribosomal RNA is filed under the name uncultured prokaryote. RNAcentral's name for it is "partial 16S rRNA". It matches the Rfam family "Bacterial small subunit ribosomal RNA", at positions 525 to 775 of the family's 1533-position model. The record is from RNAcentral.